RNAcentral lists this transfer RNA (89 nucleotides) under Thermofilum sp. RNAcentral's name for it is "tRNA-Ser". It matches the Rfam family "tRNA". From Rfam's summary of the family: Transfer RNA (tRNA) molecules are approximately 80 nucleotides in length. RNAcentral also lists the same sequence under 2 other names. The record is from RNAcentral. Lineage: Archaea; Thermoproteati; Thermoproteota; Thermoprotei; Thermofilales; Thermofilaceae.
GCCGGGGUCGCCUAGCCCGGUUAGGGCGGCGGGUUGCUAACCCGCUGGCCGAUAAGGCCGCCCGGGUUCGAAUCCCGGCCCCGGCGCCA